Molecule: unclassified non-coding RNA, 357 nt
Filed under: Hevea brasiliensis (rubber tree)
Lineage: Eukaryota; Viridiplantae; Streptophyta; Magnoliopsida; Malpighiales; Euphorbiaceae
Source: RNAcentral
AAACGCCGAAUUGUGCGCCUGAGAGAUAAAUUUGGUAGCAGAUCUUCCACUCUACACCUGCUAGAAGAGCAUUUUGGGCACUUCGCCUUUUCUAGAAGAACCAGACGAAUGCAUUUCUCACAAAAACUGAGCUGGCAGCAAGGUAUCAUUACAGCAUCCUUCAUGAAGAUUCUACAGAGAGGGCAUCUCAGUACGUCCGGUAAAACCUUACUGCGAAAAGCUGGAAAGUUGGAGCGUAUCGCCCUUGGACCUAAGGGGUAAUCUUUCUCAAAGUCCCAGCAGUUCUGCUGAUCAAAUCCUACAUCAUUCUUGGGAAAUAUUCCCUCAUCCAGCGGAAAAAAAUCAGCCCUAAAGUCA